UUUUUCGCUUAGUGCUGAGAGCUGACCCUAAUUUUGACGACUCACCAUGGCAAUCAGUAUCGCCUGAAGCUAAAGAUUUUGUCAAAAGACUUCUUAACAAGGAUUACAGAAAAAGAAUGACUGCUGCACAGGCACUCUGUAAGUACUCUCAAUGUUUCACUAUGUUUCUAUUUUUUCUGCCAAUUUGUUGUUCUUUCAUAUUUUUCUGCCAAUUUGUUGUUCUUUCAUAUUUUUCUGCCAUACUUGCUUUGCUGCAUAAAACUGUAAUAUUAUUGCUUGCUGAAUUCCUAAGACAGAGUGUGCUGUUAACUCGUGAACUUGUUGGUUUGGUUAUAGAUUCGUGAGAAGUACCUAUCAUUGAAGAAAGGUACCCGACCAGACAUAACAACGGCAAUUGAAGAUGAGCUUCACAGUGCUCGAUCUUCAUUUGAGCAAGCCCGUUUCAACCUGGUCACUUCACUUUCCCAUGUCGAGGCAACGAAGAGAUAUGAAUUUUUGGAGGCUGUUAGUGCGACGAUGGACUCACAUCUUCGAUAUUUUAAACAAGGAUAUGAACUAUUGCAUCAAAUGGAACCAUAUAUUAAU
Molecule: long non-coding RNA, 585 nt
Organism: Zea mays
Lineage: Eukaryota; Viridiplantae; Streptophyta; Magnoliopsida; Poales; Poaceae
Exons: 4
Source: RefSeq, a predicted model, not a curated record